GAUGAAGAACGCAGCGAAAUGCGAUAAGUAAUGUGAAUUGCAGAAUUCAGUGAAUCAUCGAAUCUUUGAACGCACAUUGCGCCCCCCAGUAUUCUGGCGGGCAUGCCUGUUCGAGCGUCAUUUCAACCAUCAAGCCCUGCUUGUGUUGGGGUCCUGCGGCUGCCCGCAGGCCCUGAAAACCAGUGGCGGGCUCGCUAGUCACACCGAGCGCAGUAGCACAUCUCGCUCAGGGCGUGCGGCGGGCUCCAGCCGUUAAAGCACCCACCUUUCGCAAGGUUGACCUCGGAUCAGGUAGGCAUACCCGCUGAACUUAAGCAUAUCAAUAAGCGGAGGA
This 334-nucleotide unclassified non-coding RNA is filed under the name soil metagenome. RNAcentral describes it as "partial contains 5.8S ribosomal RNA, internal transcribed spacer 2, and large subunit ribosomal RNA". The stretch from base 1 to 120 matches the Rfam family "5.8S ribosomal RNA", at positions 35 to 154 of the family's 154-position model. The record is from RNAcentral.